GUGUUGCUUUGUAAGGACACUCAGGUGAUAUCAUCAAAAUGCUCGAUGAUGAAUCCAAAGUGGUGUGAUUACUGGCAUGUACCAUCACUCAUCCAUCCCAGAGCCCAAGUUUUUAACUACAUGGAAACCAUGAGGAAGAUCUCAGGACAUCCUUCUGGCACAAGGAUGGAUGACCGUGCAAGGAUGAGUGUAGUCCUCUCCCCUCAUCAACGAAACUUCUUUUUACAACGAUGGCGGCCGAUACAGAAAAACACAACUCGUCAAAAUGCAAAAUUGUGGAGCCCAGUUCCAACGUAUGAAUCUACAAGACACUCCAAGGCGCAGGGAACUUUUCAGGAGAGGUGGCAGAGAUCAGGGAGUUUGCUGUGAGUCUGUGGAUGUCUCACCAACACGACUGCCUAAACAUGAACUGAACAAGUACAAUACACGUGCCAACGUGGACAGGGAGCCCGCGAGGCCUCAACCCUACACAAAGAACUACAGGCAACUAAGGAAUGCUGGGGGCAGGGGGUCUUUUCCCAGAGAAGAGUACACCAGUGAUCAACCCUGAAAACAUUAUACAGUAAUGUAUAUACAAGUAAUAUUAUACAGAAAUGAGCAGGGUGUAUUUACGUAUUUAGAAAUAUAUACACAUAGCAAUACAAUGAAUAUGUGUGUAACGACAAUUAAUGAAAAAAGAGACCGCAAAUUUGAAAGAGAGCGAGGAGAGGUGUAUG
This is a long non-coding RNA of Phodopus roborovskii (desert hamster), 716 nucleotides long. RefSeq lists it as uncharacterized. Lineage: Eukaryota; Metazoa; Chordata; Mammalia; Rodentia; Cricetidae. The record is from RefSeq and is a predicted model, not a curated record. The transcript has 3 exons.